UGCUGAACUCACUGGUGUUGUGUGAGGUGAGAACAGGAAGAAUUAUUUUUUUGAAAGAAAGCAAAAUUAUGACAGGCUUUGCUUCCAUGAAUACUGAGAACAUCAUUAACUGUUUGUUUGAGAGGUGGAAUUGA
This 134-nucleotide long non-coding RNA is filed under the name Zonotrichia albicollis (white-throated sparrow). RNAcentral's name for it is "lncRNA (ENSZALG00000011442.1)". The record is from RNAcentral. Lineage: Eukaryota; Metazoa; Chordata; Aves; Passeriformes; Passerellidae.